CAGUGCUGCAGCAGCAGCACAAACUGGACCGCUCCGCGCCCCUCAGAGGCUCCUGGCAGCCACCGCCAUUUCCCCUCGGUGGCCUCUUGAGGCCCUCCUACUUGCUCAGGACCAUGAUGGCAGGGGGGCUGCCACAAGAGGCUGCUGGUCGCCCCAAGGGGCCGGUGCAGAGGAGGUAGGGGAGAAGGGGCUGCCCGCCAUCGCCUCUCCUGGAGGGCCAAGAGCCAGGAGGUCGUCGAGGCGCAGCCGCACACAACAUGGCGGCUGUGAGGCACUAAUGUGAAGACUGAGGCAGCGGCUCAGGCGGUGGAGGUGGACACUAAUGAAUGACUGCAGUGCUGCCCUGAGUGAGGGGGUCCCCACUAUUAAAAGUUUAAUAGAAAGAUCUGAGAAGCUGGGAGCCAAGAGGAGGAGGAGGGGACAAGGAGCUGUGAGUAACUCAAGUUUUUUGUUGCAGGUUGAGGCCACCAAAAUGUUUGGGGUCCUGGGGUACUGGAGGGUGCUGCUUGCGUUGCAAGGGGCAGCCAGGGAGCGAUGACAGGAGCAGCUGCCUUGCGCUCGAGAUCUCUUCUAGAAGGCAAUGCAAGAACGUUUUGAGCCUGUAGAAGCAUCCGGAAAAGAGCACUAAUACCUGAAUUUGAUGCUUGAUCUCUUUGAAACAGUCCAAUGAAGAAAAGGCCUCCAGAAAUGGUGUUUCCUAUCCAACCUGUCAGAACAGGUUUCUUAAGAUUGCUGUCGGACAGAACAUGCCGGAUUCCUGUUUGGAAAUAUCUGGAGCGGAUCCACAAGGCUUACUUGGGUUUUCCUUUCUCACUGCCUCUUCUUCCCUCCUUCCAAACAUCGGUCUUCUGACUGAAAUACGGCAUCGGGACAGAUGUAAGGCUGAUAGCUUUACUCGCAGAGUAACUUCUGGAGCUGAGUUAGAUGUCUUCUGGUGAGAAUAUUUCAGGGGGCUGCAUUUUCCUAAGCAUUGCGAGGAUACAAUGUCUGUGCUCUUCUGAUUUUUUUUAAACAGACCGCAGUUUUAAGUCUGCUCUAAAAUUUGUCCUUUGCUUUUUUCUUAAACUUAACCCAUUUAACUCAUUUAUUUGAUAACAUGAUAGUAAUCAGAUUGUACUUGAAGUCAACAUAUGCUUUAAUGUUGCUCUGAAUACAGUUGCUCUUCUGAGCUGAGGCCUGUGUUUGGAGCUUAAAUCUGAUUCUGGGACUUGAGAAAAUAUAAAAAUAGGUUGCUCCUGAGAACACAGACUGACAAUUUCUGCUCUUCCCUCUGUCUUCCAUAGACACAACAUUAAAGUUCAAUUAUUGCAUGAGACUCAUUCAUAUUUUCUUGAUAUUCAUUAUUAUUUUAAGAACGCUUCAGUGUUCUUACUAGGCACAGUUCUGAAAACCUGCAAGGACUGGAAGUUUCUCCUUUUCUUACCACGAUAAAAAGAAGUGCUUGAGAGAAAUAAGUGCUGCGUGACAAGCAUCGUUAUUACACUCCUUGGUGUUGUGCUCACUUCUUAUGCCAGUAAAAAUUUCUUUUCACUUUUCUUAAAGCGCUAUCUUAAUAUUAAGGGUUUUAUAUUUUUUGGUGGAAGCUGUUAAACUGACUGCCGUAAUGAUCGUGUUCUUUUCAGUAGUCACUCAGAGCAGAUAGAUUGGAGGGAAUUGCAAUGCAAAACUCCCCUUAAAGCGUGUCAGGUGAAAUCUGAAGAUCGCUUCUGAUUGUAUCCCUUUCUAUUUGGUUUUGGGCUUUUUUGCCACAGCUGCAGACUAUAUUCCAAAUUACUGAUAAUAACGACAAGCUGCUCUGCAAUCUUGUCACAAGCACACUGGAACAACAUUCAGUCUCUCCUAAGCGUGACUGCAACUCUACAUGAUCCAGAACCUGGGGGUCUGUGCUGUUCCCUUUUGGUGAACGUGGCGAUGGAGGUUGGGGGAACAGCUGACUUUUAGGUUAACUAACUCUGCAGUUAGCUACAGCCCAAGAUUUCCGGAUUUUCUCAUCUAGUCACAGCCUUCUCUUGUGUGGCUUGUGUAAUAAGAGAAGCCAGAGCUAAGUGAACUGGAGAGGUCAGUAAAAUACUAUUGUUCAGUCCUGUUCCUUGCUUAUAAAUUAAGUUGUUCCUAUUUGCAGAGAUGUCCUUUCAGUUGUAACGCUUCUGCUUUUACUAACAGGCCAAAGAAUAAAAGUGUUUAGCAAUAGUAAGUUAAUAAAAUCUUAUAAAAUGAGACAAAUCACCCUGCAUCUGAAAACAAAACAAAACAAAAAACAUGGAAUCUGUAAACAAGCGACUGAUGAAAAACACCUCUAACUGCAUUUUAUUUGAAGAAUAAAAAGAACACAAGUCUUUGAGCUGGUUAAGAGAAGCUAUCUAUACCUGCUUCUUUUGAAUCCUUCUUCAGGAAUAAUAUUUUUCAGGGCUUGAUGCUUGC
Molecule: long non-coding RNA, 2421 nt
Organism: Cygnus olor (mute swan)
Lineage: Eukaryota; Metazoa; Chordata; Aves; Anseriformes; Anatidae
Exons: 4
Source: RefSeq, a predicted model, not a curated record